UACGUAGGGGGCAAGCGUUGUCCGGAUUUAUUGGGCGUAAAGAGCGUGUAGGCGGCUGGGUAGGUCCGUUGUGAAAACUCGAGGCUCAACCUCGAGACGCCGAUGGAAACCCUCCAGCUAGAGUCCGGAAGAGGAGAGUGGAAUUCCUGGUGUAGCGGUGAAAUGCGCAGAUAUCAGGAAGAACACCAAUGGCGAAGGCAGCUCUCUGGGACGGUACUGACGCUGAGACGCGAAAGCGUGGGGAGCGAACAGG
Molecule: ribosomal RNA, 253 nt
Filed under: uncultured bacterium
Lineage: Bacteria
Description: partial 16S ribosomal RNA
Rfam family: Bacterial small subunit ribosomal RNA
Source: RNAcentral